Molecule: long non-coding RNA, 3387 nt
Filed under: Helianthus annuus (common sunflower)
Lineage: Eukaryota; Viridiplantae; Streptophyta; Magnoliopsida; Asterales; Asteraceae
Description: hypothetical non coding rna
Source: RNAcentral
GGGGCAAAAUCAAAAUUUUGAACUGAGGCAAAUUCGUAAUUUUGAAUAGGGGGCAAAAGCAUAGUUUUAUUUUGAACCGGGUAAAAACAUAAUUUUAAACUGAAGGCGAAAUCAUAAUUUUUGAAACGGGGCGAAAAUGCAAAGUCGUCAUUUUUAGUUUGGGGCAAAAGCAAAAAUUAUUUUGAACUGGGACCAAAAUUGUAAUUGUAAUAUGGGGAUAAAAUCAUAUUAUGAACCGAGGGCAAAAUCGUAAUUUUGAGCGAGUGAUAAAAACAUAAUUUUAUUUUGAGCUGAAGGCAAAAACGUAAUUUUAUUUUAAAUUAAGGACAAAACCGUAAUUUUUAAACGAAUAUAAAACAAUUUUAAAACGAAUAUAAAACAAUAAAGCUAUUGGUCCAAUAGGGAAGUGCGAUGCAGCUGCGUGGCACUAUUCCCCCACUUCCUUUUUGUAUAUGUAGAGAAUAGAUAGAGAGUAUAUUUUAUGUUAUUAAGAAAAGUUAAAUACAUAUAUAAUUAAAUUACCAUAACACUAAUCAGUUGCCUUGAACUACAUCUAUAGUUGAAAAAAAACUAAUGAGUUGCCGUGAAUUACUUCUAUAGUUUGAGAAAAAAAAACUGAUUAAUCGAAAAAAAUAUAACAAUACAUAUAUUACAAUACAUUCGGUUGGAUUUUGAUUACAUACAUUCAAAAUUCAGAAAACAGAAUUAACCAAACUUGAAAUAGAAUUUUGAAUAUGAUUCGGUUCAAGACUAACAAAAUAACAUUUUAAUGCUACAACAGGUAAUUAAAGUGCAAUAACAUUUAAAUGCUACUAAAGGUAAUUGAAGUGCAACAGGAUGAAUAUAUGCAUAUGAUAUUCAUGUGUGUAAGAUGUUUGGGCCCAAAUUUGGUUUACAAACUCUAAAAACAAAAUACGGUGUUUUUUUUGCUUAUAGAGAGUGCCGGUGGUGAGGAAUCAAAAAGAUUUCAACCGAAUAAUAUCGGUAUCUGUUUUGGUUUAUUCAGUCAUUACCUAUAUUCUAUUUUAUGAUUUUCGAACGAUAUAAGACACGUGUUGAUAUCCUUUUAGGAAUAUUACAACUUUGUUUUUUUUUUUUCUCUUUUUGUUGCUUAUAUCGAGCGGAGUUAAAUGUCGUUUUAGUCCAUGUGGUUUGGGUCAUUUUGUCAGUUUAGUCCAAAGGUUUGAAGCGUUGCCAUUUUAGUCCAAAUAGUUUUAAACGUUGUCAUUUUAGUCCAGUGGGUUAACUCCAUCCCUUUAUUCUGUUAACUAGAAGGCAUUUCGGCCAUUUUAUAUGUAAUUAUGUUAACUAGAAGGACAAUUCGACCAUAUAAACUGAUCGAAUUACUCUUCUAGCUAACAUAAAAAAUGGACGGAGUUAACCUGGUGGACUAAAAUGGCAACGCUUGAAACUAUUUGGACUAAAAUAGCAACGUUUCAAACAUUUGGACUAAACUGUCAAAAUAACCCAAACCACAGGGACUAAAUGACAUUUAACUCUACUGGGCGUCUAUAACGUACAUAAACCGAAACGGUAAUGUUUGAAUUUCCGCCACAACGCGCGGUGGGAUUACAAUAGUUAUAUUAAUAAUAAUUAUUAUUAUUAUAAUUAAUAUAAAUUAAUUAAUAAAUACUAAACGAGUCGAGCCCGAGCCGAGCUCGAGCUUGAAAAAUUACUUUCGAGCCGAGCUCGAACUCGAGCUUUCAUAUGUUAAACGAGCUCGAGCUCGAGCCUGAUCGAGCUCGGGCUCGACUCAACUCGUUUGCACCCCUACGCGCAAGCGUAUCGUAAAAUAUAUAUUAACAUUUAACUAGUAAAAAGGCCUACCCGUUGCACGAGACGUGUUUGGAUAGGCGUAGUGUAAGAGGUUGUUUUCACGACUUGAAACUGUGAAACUGUGGUGGUGGACGGUAGUGGUGGGUGGUUGUGUUUAACCCUCUACAGAUCUUAGAAGAUCUUAAAAGUGGUUGGGCCAAGUCUGCACCAAGAAGAGCUCACCCAGACGUUUUUAAAUGAAACGUCUUCGAAAACACAAACAGUCUGUAGAUAGCAAUGUCUGCACGUGGUCUGUGCGGCGCAGAAAGAAGGAUGUACGCAUAAUUUUUUUUUAGAAAAACAAACACCAUCGCUUCGUUUCAAGGCACCUAGUACUCUAUGUUAUUAAAAACUGUUAUUAUUUUUUUGUUGAAACAUAAAAAAAAAAAAAAAGUGCCAUAGAUAAGUAAGAAAAUAUAUUAGUAUGACAGUAAAUAGUAAUUUAUUAUUUAUAAAAUGUGUUGUUUAGUUUACUAUUGUAACGAGUGUAACGUGAUCACAUGAUAUCUAUGUGUUAACUCUCAUCAACUAUAAAUUUGUGUGCUAUUACAACUCAAACACAAGCAUUGUGCCCAAAGUAAACCACAAGAUUAAUUUUUGAGUAAAUUACAAAUUUUGUCAUUUAUGUUUACACCAAAUUGCAGGCGCUGUCCUUUAGCGCAAAAGUUUGCAAGUUUUGUGCUUUAUGUUUCAAAAUCUUGCAUGUUUUAACCUUUAGGCCAAACCCAGUUACAUUUUUUAGCUAAUUAUGGCCAUGUGCCAUGCACAUAAGGGUAUUCUUGUCAUUUUACUUUCUUAAGGACUAUUGAGUAAAUAACUUAAUAUUUAAGGGACUAGUUGUGUAAGAAAUAAAAAAUAAAAUAUAAAUAUUAAAAACUCUCUCUCUGACUCUCUCUCUCCCUCUCUCUCAUUCUCCUCUCCCUCUCUUCACCCAAGCAACGAACAACCUGUUUCCAUCGUAAUAGGGUACAAAUUAUAUGCACAUUUUCGUUGAUUUCCAUCGGUAGAUCAAAAGCUCUAAACCUAUUUUAGUUUACAGUAUCAUUUGUGGGCUCAAUUGGAUGGGAUUAGGAUCUAGGGUUCAUAAGUUUGUUUGGGAAUUAGGUUCGAUCAGGGCAUUAUGUUGAAUAGAAAUCCAAUUUUGUUUACAACAACGAACAGAAUGCAGCCUAAUGUUCAUAUUCACCUUGAUGGGAAUUAGGUUCAAUUCACUACAUGAUUCUGAAUGCAUGGUUGUUGUCACCGGCAAAGAUGGUCACCGGGUGGGUACGGUAGUGAUGGUUGGUGCAGUAGGGUUGGGUGGUCGGUAGGUGGGGGUGGAGGCGGUGAAGGCUGAGGGCAUACUUGGCUUCUGCUGCGGGAUCCGACGGUGGGUCGGCGGCGGGGACGGCGAAUUCAGGGCGGAGACGCUUCAGACGCCGGUAGACGAAGUCGUCAUCGUUGAUGAGCUCCCAGUCUUUUAGGAUUGGUGUAGUGUUGAAUUUUGGUGAACUGUGGAGAUUUGGAUUUGAAUUUGGAAAGAAUUGAAGAAAAUGUCAAUCUGCAAUGAAAAGUUUGAAAACCCUUUUGGGU